GGGUUGUGAGGUUAAGCGACUAAGCGUACACGGUGGAUGCCCUGGCAGUCAGAGGCGAUGAAGGACGUGCUAAUCUGCGAUAAGCGUCGGUAAGGUGAUAUGAACCGUUAUAACCGGCGAUUUCCGAAUGGGGAAACCCAGUGUGAUUCGUCACACUAUCAUUAACUGAAUCCAUAGGUUAAUGAGGCGAACCGGGGGAACUGAAACAUCUAAGUACCCCGAGGAAAAGAAAUCAACCGAGAUUCCCCCAGUAGCGGCGAGCGAACGGGGAGGAGCCCAGAGCCUGAAUCAGUGUGUGUGUUAGUGGAAGCGUCUGGAAAGGCGCGCGAUACAGGGUGACAGCCCCGUACACAAAAAUGCACAUAUUGUGAGCUCGAUGAGUAGGGCGGGACACGUGGUAUCCUGUCUGAAUAUGGGGGGACCAUCCUCCAAGGCUAAAUACUCCUGACUGACCGAUAGUGAACCAGUACCGUGAGGGAAAGGCGAAAAGAACCCCGGCGAGGGGAGUGAAAAAGAACCUGAAACCGUGUACGUACAAGCAGUGGGAGCACGCUUAGGCGUGUGACUGCGUACCUUUUGUAUAAUGGGUCAGCGACUUAUAUUCUGUAGCAAGGUUAACCGAAUAGGGGAGCCGAAGGGAAACCGAGUCUUAACUGGGCGUUAAGUUGCAGGGUAUAGACCCGAAACCCGGUGAUCUAGCCAUGGGCAGGUUGAAGGUUGGGUAACACUAACUGGAGGACCGAACCGACUAAUGUUGAAAAAUUAGCGGAUGACUUGUGGCUGGGGGUGAAAGGCCAAUCAAACCGGGAGAUAGCUGGUUCUCCCCGAAAGCUAUUUAGGUAGCGCCUCGUGAAUUCAUCUCCGGGGGUAGAGCACUGUUUCGGCAAGGGGGUCAUCCCGACUUACCAACCCGAUGCAAACUGCGAAUACCGGAGAAUGUUAUCACGGGAGACACACGGCGGGUGCUAACGUCCGUCGUGAAGAGGGAAACAACCCAGACCGCCAGCUAAGGUCCCAAAGUCAUGGUUAAGUGGGAAACGAUGUGGGAAGGCCCAGACAGCCAGGAUGUUGGCUUAGAAGCAGCCAUCAUUUAAAGAAAGCGUAAUAGCUCACUGGUCGAGUCGGCCUGCGCGGAAGAUGUAACGGGGCUAAACCAUGCACCGAAGCUGCGGCAGCGACGCUGAUGCGUUGUUGGGUAGGGGAGCGUUCUGUAAGCCUGCGAAGGUGUGCUGUGAGGCAUGCUGGAGGUAUCAGAAGUGCGAAUGCUGACAUAAGUAACGAUAAAGCGGGUGAAAAGCCCGCUCGCCGGAAGACCAAGGGUUCCUGUCCAACGUUAAUCGGGGCAGGGUGAGUCGACCCCUAAGGCGAGGCCGAAAGGCGUAGUCGAUGGGAAACAGGUUAAUAUUCCUGUACUUGGUGUUACUGCGAAGGGGGGACGGAGAAGGCUAUGUUGGCCGGGCGACGGUUGUCCCGGUUUAAGCGUGUAGGCUGGUUUUCCAGGCAAAUCCGGAAAAUCAAGGCUGAGGCGUGAUGACGAGGCACUACGGUGCUGAAGCAACAAAUGCCCUGCUUCCAGGAAAAGCCUCUAAGCAUCAGGUAACAUCAAAUCGUACCCCAAACCGACACAGGUGGUCAGGUAGAGAAUACCAAGGCGCUUGAGAGAACUCGGGUGAAGGAACUAGGCAAAAUGGUGCCGUAACUUCGGGAGAAGGCACGCUGAUAUGUAGGUGAAGUCCCUCGCGGAUGGAGCUGAAAUCAGUCGAAGAUACCAGCUGGCUGCAACUGUUUAUUAAAAACACAGCACUGUGCAAACACGAAAGUGGACGUAUACGGUGUGACGCCUGCCCGGUGCCGGAAGGUUAAUUGAUGGGGUUAGCCGCAAGGCGAAGCUCUUGAUCGAAGCCCCGGUAAACGGCGGCCGUAACUAUAACGGUCCUAAGGUAGCGAAAUUCCUUGUCGGGUAAGUUCCGACCUGCACGAAUGGCGUAAUGAUGGCCAGGCUGUCUCCACCCGAGACUCAGUGAAAUUGAACUCGCUGUGAAGAUGCAGUGUACCCGCGGCAAGACGGAAAGACCCCGUGAACCUUUACUAUAGCUUGACACUGAACAUUGAGCCUUGAUGUGUAGGAUAGGUGGGAGGCUUUGAAGUGUGGACGCCAGUCUGCAUGGAGCCGACCUUGAAAUACCACCCUUUAAUGUUUGAUGUUCUAACGUUGACCCGUAAUCCGGGUUGCGGACAGUGUCUGGUGGGUAGUUUGACUGGGGCGGUCUCCUCCUAAAGAGUAACGGAGGAGCACGAAGGUUGGCUAAUCCUGGUCGGACAUCAGGAGGUUAGUGCAAUGGCAUAAGCCAGCUUGACUGCGAGCGUGACGGCGCGAGCAGGUGCGAAAGCAGGUCAUAGUGAUCCGGUGGUUCUGAAUGGAAGGGCCAUCGCUCAACGGAUAAAAGGUACUCCGGGGAUAACAGGCUGAUACCGCCCAAGAGUUCAUAUCGACGGCGGUGUUUGGCACCUCGAUGUCGGCUCAUCACAUCCUGGGGCUGAAGUAGGUCCCAAGGGUAUGGCUGUUCGCCAUUUAAAGUGGUACGCGAGCUGGGUUUAGAACGUCGUGAGACAGUUCGGUCCCUAUCUGCCGUGGGCGCUGGAGAACUGAGGGGGGCUGCUCCUAGUACGAGAGGACCGGAGUGGACGCAUCACUGGUGUUCGGGUUGUCAUGCCAAUGGCACUGCCCGGUAGCUAAAUGCGGAAGAGAUAAGUGCUGAAAGCAUCUAAGCACGAAACUUGCCCCGAGAUGAGUUCUCCCUGACUCCUUGAGAGUCCUGAAGGAACGUUGAAGACGACGACGUUGAUAGGCCGGGUGUGUAAGCGCAGCGAUGCGUUGAGCUAACCGGUACUAAUGAACCGUGAGGCUUAACCUUACAACGCCGAAG
RNAcentral lists this ribosomal RNA (2927 nucleotides) under Escherichia coli. RNAcentral describes it as "bacterial LSU rRNA". It matches the Rfam family "Bacterial large subunit ribosomal RNA". Lineage: Bacteria; Pseudomonadati; Pseudomonadota; Gammaproteobacteria; Enterobacterales; Enterobacteriaceae. The record is from RNAcentral.